AUUCAGCUUCUUCAAUACUAUUCCUAAUAUUCUCAGGAUGGCAGGUAAGGGAAUUAAGAAAAGGUCAGAGCUGCAAUCAAGGUGGAAUUUCUGGAACAAGAAUCAAAUUUAUCACUAGGAUUAGAAGCAUGAAUUUCAAGUUUGAAAUUUCUGUGUCUUGGAGAUCUUCCUCUACUACCUUAUAUGGUGGGGAAAAGGCUGCCUAAUUUUGCAAGACUUACUAUAAUGUGCCAGUAGUAAUGACAGUAUGGCAUUGAUGAAGGAGUAGACAACAUUCUUCAUGGAACAGAAUAAGGAGCUCAGAAAUAGACCCAUGGAAACAUUGUCAACAGAUCUUUGACAAGGGAGCACAGGACCCUCAGUCAAAUUCUUUCUUCUGAGGAGGCAUGGACAGAAGUUGCUACGAACCCGUAAGGAUAGGCCACCAGUAACACAGAAUAACUCUGAUCUCCUCCACCGUUAACCUAUUCAUCCCAGUUUCUCAUCUUGCUCUCAAGAUACUUCUCUCUGAUGGAGCGGAGAGUUUAAUAGGCAAGAAGCAAGGGAGAAGACAGAAGGAAGAAGCUUCCCCAUACAGAGAAAGAGGGAGGAGGGCUCCAAAGCUGAGAGAGGAGCCUCUAGUUUGUAGCAACUCAGCAUUCUGCAAAGACUCUGCUCCAGCUGGGCAAGUAACCUUGUUAUUGCAUACACAGGUAAGUCAAUUAUACAUUUUGCAAAGAGUACUUUGUCACAGGCCUCACUAUAAAUAGCAAUGAAGUAGCUUGAUUUAAUUGAAAUAAUGUGUAACUUCUUUUAUAUAAUUGGAUUUAGUUUCUAGUCCUUGUAUCUGACUAACAGUAAAGCAUAUUAACAUAAAAAUUUAUUAUUUAAUAAUUUCUACAUAUGUUUGCUUAUGUGAGAGUAGUACUAAGCAAAAAAGCCUCAGGGCCUCAAGUUCCAGAGAGAAUAGAGUAAGAGGCAGAUGAUGCUCAAACGUACCUCCUCACAUUUACUCAGAUGUUUUGGAUACUGUUUGGUGCUUCUUGGAUUUUUCUUUCUUCUUUUUUAAUCUCAAAAUUUGACUAUAGCAGGAAAUUUAUUCUCUUGUUCUGAUCAUCCUUUAAUCUCAUAUUUUCUUCUUCCCAUGGUCAAA
This 1132-nucleotide long non-coding RNA is filed under the name Homo sapiens (human). RNAcentral's name for it is "HSALNT0204465". The record is from RNAcentral. Lineage: Eukaryota; Metazoa; Chordata; Mammalia; Primates; Hominidae.